AUUGAACGCUGGCGGCAUGCUUUACACAUGCAAGUCGAACGGUAACAGGCCUUCGGGUGCUGACGAGUGGCGAACGGGUGAGUAAUGCAUCGGAACGUACCCAGAGGUGGGGGAUAACGCAGCGAAAGCUGUGCUAAUACCGCAUGUGAUCUGAGGAUGAAAGCGGGGGACCGAGCAGCAAUGUUUGGCCUCGCGCCUUUGGAGCGGCCGAUGUCGGAUUAGCUAGUUGGUGGGGUAAAGGCCUACCGAGGCGACGAUCCGUAGCUGGUCUGAGAGGGCGAGCGGCCACAUUGGGACUCAGAUUCGGCCGGGACUCCGACGGGAGGGAGGAGCGGGGGAGAUUGGACAAUGGACGGAAGCGGGAAGAAACAGCUCCGCGUGCGGGAUGAGGGCCGUGGAUUUGUACAACGCUUUCGCCUGGGACGAAGCGUGAGCGACGGUAAUGGGUAAAGGAGCACAGGAUAACUAAGUG
Molecule: ribosomal RNA, 472 nt
Filed under: uncultured bacterium
Lineage: Bacteria
Description: partial 16S ribosomal RNA
Rfam family: Bacterial small subunit ribosomal RNA
Source: RNAcentral